RNAcentral lists this RNase P RNA (489 nucleotides) under Pseudomonadota bacterium. Its description in RNAcentral is "Proteobacteria bacterium (activated sludge metagenome) RNase P RNA component class A". It matches the Rfam family "Bacterial RNase P class A". Rfam says of the family: Ribonuclease P (RNase P) is a ubiquitous endoribonuclease, found in archaea, bacteria and eukarya as well as chloroplasts and mitochondria. Its best characterised activity is the generation of mature 5'-ends of tRNAs by cleaving the 5'-leader elements of precursor-tRNAs. Lineage: Bacteria; Pseudomonadati; Pseudomonadota. The record is from RNAcentral.
GAAGCAAGCCGGACCGCCGCUGGUGCAUGGGCCGAAAGGCCGCACCGGAGGAAGGUCCGGACUGCGCAGGGCGGCGUAGCAGCUAACGGCUGUCCACCGCGAGGUGAGGAUCAGAGCAACAGAGACGAGUCAGGUCGGGUCGCCCCGCCGCGGGUGGUCUGCGAGGUGCCGGCGCGAGCCGGCAACCGGGUGGCGCAAGCCGCCCGGCCACGGCGUCAGCCGGGGGCCGAGCAGCACCCAAGCCGGGCCGCGCGCAAGUGCGCGAUCCGGCUUGGGUGAAACGGGCAAUCUCUACGCGCAGCAACACCAAAUAGGCACGUGCAGGGCCCCGUCUUCGGACGGGGCACGGAACCCCGGCCCGGGGCGAGCGUGCGGGUAGGUGGCACCGAGCCGCGCAGCGAUGCGCGGCCCAGAUGAAUGGCGGUCACGCCGUGCCGCCGGCAACGGCGGCACGGUGCACAGAAUCCGGCCUACAGGCUUGCUUCACCU